UAAACUUUAACCUUAAACUCUUAACCCUUGAUUAAUUAAAUAUUCCAAAAAGCCCAUUGGUUAGUUUUUUCCCGCCAAGGCCUUUAACCCCUUUGUCUAUGAGUAGAGUUCCACAUUUGGUUAGACUGUACAGGUAGUGGUAGAAGGAUAUUUCUUACAGGAUUUGGAAUCACUGACAAUCGUAUUACAAUAGAGAUUAUUACCAAUAUAUCACUCGAAUCUAUUUGGAAAGGAUUCAGCCCAUAGUUGAAUGCAUGGUGAAGAUAACGAACAGUGAUCAAUCUCAUAACUCCUACAAGCAAUACAAAAUAGAUAGUUGGGCAAACACGGACCCCUAAUAAUAAGUAAACA
Molecule: long non-coding RNA, 351 nt
Organism: Ostrea edulis (European flat oyster)
Lineage: Eukaryota; Metazoa; Mollusca; Bivalvia; Ostreida; Ostreidae
Exons: 3
Source: RefSeq, a predicted model, not a curated record